Molecule: unclassified non-coding RNA, 292 nt
Filed under: Hevea brasiliensis (rubber tree)
Lineage: Eukaryota; Viridiplantae; Streptophyta; Magnoliopsida; Malpighiales; Euphorbiaceae
Source: RNAcentral
UGUAAUUACACAAGCAAGUAAUAAAGGAAGUUCAUACAUGUCCAAGUUACAAUUAAGUUUUAAGGAUCUGCAGCCACCAUAUCCAUUCAGAUUAUAAAAGCCUUUGGUGAAAACCGAAAAGGACUUCGAUCUAGAAUUGAAAAACAGACUAACAGUAUCUCUCCACACAGCACUUAAAUGGCGGACAGAUGCAUAAUUGUAUUUAUUAGAUUAUAAAGAUGCAGUGAACUCUGCCGAUAACAAAUUAAAAAGCACUCAUUUGUUCCACCAAUGAAGGAAAUCCUUGCGCCUG